GAGAGAGGCUUGCUAGCAAUGAAGACUGCUAAUCUUCACCUCUUUGGUUGAACUCCAGAGCUCACUCA
This 68-nucleotide transfer RNA is filed under the name Channa striata (snakehead murrel). RNAcentral describes it as "tRNA-Ser". The record is from RNAcentral. Lineage: Eukaryota; Metazoa; Chordata; Actinopteri; Anabantiformes; Channidae.